CCUACGGGUGGCAGCAGUGAGGAAUAUUGGUCAAUGGGCGCGAGCCUGAACCAGCCAAGCCGCGUGAGGGAAGACGGUCCUAUGGAUUGUAAACCUCUUUUGUCGGGGGGCAAAAGACGCCACGCGUGGCGGUCCGAGAGUACCCGAAGAAAAAGCAUCGGCUAACUCCGUGCCAGCAGCCGCGGUAAUACGGAGGAUGCGAGCGUUAUCCGGAUUUAUUGGGUUUAAAGGGUGCGCAGGCGGAAGAUCAAGUCAGCGGUAAAAUUAAGAGGCUCAACCCCUUCGAGCCGUUGAAACUGGCUGUCUUGAGUGAGUGAGAAGUAGGCGGAAUGCGUGGUGUAGCGGUGAAAUGCAUAGAUAUCACGCAGAACUCCGAUUGCGAAGGCAGCAUACCGGCGCUCAACUGACGCUGAUGCACGAAAGUGUGGGUAUCGAACAGGAUUAGAUACCCGAGUAGUC
This 459-nucleotide ribosomal RNA is filed under the name uncultured bacterium. Its description in RNAcentral is "partial 16S ribosomal RNA". It matches the Rfam family "Bacterial small subunit ribosomal RNA", at positions 338 to 795 of the family's 1533-position model. The record is from RNAcentral.